GAUGAACGCUGGCGGCGUGCCUAACACAUGCAAGUCGAACGGAAUUUACAUGAAGCCUAGCGAUUGUAAAUUUAGUGGCGGACGGGUGAGUAACGCGUGGGUAACCUGCCUUGUACUGGGGGACAACAGUUGGAAACGACUGCUAAUACCGCAUAAGCGCACAGCUUCGCAUGAAGCAGUGUGAAAAACUCCGGUGGUACAAGAUGGACCCGCGUCUGAUUAGCUGGUUGGUGAGGUAACGGCCCACCAAGGCGACGAUCAGUAGCCGGCCUGAGAGGGUGAACGGCCACAUUGGGACUGAGACACGGCCCAAACUCCUACGGGAGGCAGCAGUGGGGAAUAUUGCACAAUGGGGGAAACCCUGAUGCAGCAACGCCGCGUGAGUGAAGAAGUAUUUCGGUAUGUAAAGCUCUAUCAGCAGGAAAGAA
This 428-nucleotide ribosomal RNA is filed under the name uncultured bacterium. Its description in RNAcentral is "bacterial SSU rRNA". It matches the Rfam family "Bacterial small subunit ribosomal RNA", at positions 28 to 449 of the family's 1533-position model. The record is from RNAcentral.